RNAcentral lists this ribosomal RNA (1247 nucleotides) under Sphingobacterium nematocida. RNAcentral's name for it is "bacterial SSU rRNA". It matches the Rfam family "Bacterial small subunit ribosomal RNA", at positions 182 to 1432 of the family's 1533-position model. The record is from RNAcentral. Lineage: Bacteria; Pseudomonadati; Bacteroidota; Sphingobacteriia; Sphingobacteriales; Sphingobacteriaceae.
AGUUCCGCAUGGGACAGUAAUUAAAUAUUUAUAGGAUAUGGAUGGGCUCGCGUGACAUUAGCUAGUUGGUAGGGUAACGGCUUACCAAGGCUACGAUGUCUAGGGGCUCUGAGAGGAGAAUCCCCCACACUGGUACUGAGACACGGACCAGACUCCUACGGGAGGCAGCAGUAAGGAAUAUUGGUCAAUGGAGGGAACUCUGAACCAGCCAUGCCGCGUGCAGGAUGACUGCCCUAUGGGUUGUAAACUGCUUUUGUCAGGGAAUAAACCUUUCUACGUGUAGGAAGCUGAAUGUACCUGAAGAAUAAGGAUCGGCUAACUCCGUGCCAGCAGCCGCGGUAAUACGGAGGAUCCGAGCGUUAUCCGGAUUUAUUGGGUUUAAAGGGUGCGUAGGCGGCUUAUUAAGUCAGGGGUGAAAUACGGCAGCUCAACUGUCGCAGUGCCUUUGAUACUGAUAAGCUUGAAUGUGGUUGAAGAUGGCGGAAUGAGACAAGUAGCGGUGAAAUGCAUAGAUAUGUCUCAGAACUCCGAUUGCGAAGGCAGCUAUCUAAGCCAUUAUUGACGCUGAUGCACGAAAGCGUGGGGAUCAAACAGGAUUAGAUACCCUGGUAGUCCACGCCCUAAACGAUGAUAACUCGAUGUUAGCGAUACACAGUUAGCGUCUUAGCGAAAGCGUUAAGUUAUCCACCUGGGGAGUACGCCCGCAAGGGUGAAACUCAAAGGAAUUGACGGGGGCCCGCACAAGCGGAGGAGCAUGUGGUUUAAUUCGAUGAUACGCGAGGAACCUUACCCGGGCUUGAAAGUUAGUGAAUGAUCCAGAGACGGAUCAGUCCUUCGGGACACGAAACUAGGUGCUGCAUGGCUGUCGUCAGCUCGUGCCGUGAGGUGUUGGGUUAAGUCCCGCAACGAGCGCAACCCCUAUGUUUAGUUGCCAGCAUGUAAUGAUGGGGACUCUAAACAGACUGCCUGCGUAAGCAGUGAGGAAGGUGGGGACGACGUCAAGUCAUCAUGGCCCUUACGUCCGGGGCUACACACGUGCUACAAUGGAUGGUACAGCGGGCAGCUACACAGCAAUGUGAUGCCAAUCUCGAAAAGCCAUUCACAGUUCGGAUCGGGGUCUGCAACUCGACCCCGUGAAGUUGGAUUCGCUAGUAAUCGCGUAUCAGCAAUGACGCGGUGAAUACGUUCCCGGGCCUUGUACACACCGCCCGUCAAGCCAUGAAAGUUGGGGGUGCCUAAAGCAUGUA